Molecule: ribosomal RNA, 440 nt
Filed under: uncultured bacterium
Lineage: Bacteria
Description: partial 16S ribosomal RNA
Rfam family: Bacterial small subunit ribosomal RNA
Source: RNAcentral
CCUACGGGGGGCAGCAGUGGGGGAUAUUGCACAAUGGGGGGAACCCUGAUGCAGCGACGCCGCGUGGGUGAAGAAGCGCCUCGGCGCGUAAAGCCCUGUCAGCAGGGAAGAAAAUGACGGUACCUGAAGAAGAAGCCCCGGCUAACUACGUGCCAGCAGCCGCGGUUAUACGUAGGGGGCAAGCGUUAUCCGGAUUUACUGGGUGUAAAGGGGGCGCAGACGGCGAUGCAAGCCAGGAGUGAAAGCCCGGGGCCCAACCCCGGGACUGCACUUGGAACUGCGUGGCUGGAGUGCAGGAGGGGCAGGCGGAAUUCCUGGUGUAGCGGUGAAAUGCGUAGAUAUCAGGAGGAACACCAGUGGCGAAGGAGGCUCUCUGAUCUGCAACUGACGCUGAGGCUCGAAAGCAUGGGUAGCGAACAGGAUUAGAUACCCGAGUAGUC